This is a long non-coding RNA of Nicrophorus vespilloides, 438 nucleotides long. RefSeq lists it as uncharacterized. The record is from RefSeq and is a predicted model, not a curated record. The transcript has 2 exons. NCBI's taxonomy places the organism in Eukaryota, Metazoa, Arthropoda, Insecta, Coleoptera, Silphidae.
UUUGAAGAAUUUAAAGAAAAGUAAACAAAAUGUAAAUACUUUGGAAAUUAUUUGCAGCAACUGCAACAUGAGCAACAAAAAAAUAAUUGAAAAACCAAACAAAAUAAGCUCAAACAAAGUUAAACUUAUUGAGAAGAAAACUAAAUCGAAAAAGAAAGACAAAUUUUGUGGAUUGAAUCCAGACCUUGUUAUUGCAGUUAAAGGUAAUUCUGCAAGUAAAAAUGCAAGUUUAAAGAAGAUCAAUCCAAUUAAGAAAGAAGACACUACUCAAUUGAUUCCCAAGAAAACAAUUACUUCAAGUAAAAAAAAAGUAGCAGCACAGCAAAAGAAUUUGACAAAAUUGAAGAAUCGUUUGGGUAAUGCCCUGAGUAGUCAACCAAGCAGUAACAUUGGUUUAAAAAGUUUUUUAAAACAAAUUAAAUGAUAUUAUUUCCUAUA